RNAcentral lists this ribosomal RNA (419 nucleotides) under uncultured Thelephoraceae. RNAcentral describes it as "eukaryotic LSU rRNA". The stretch from base 336 to 419 matches the Rfam family "Eukaryotic large subunit ribosomal RNA", at positions 1 to 84 of the family's 3401-position model. Lineage: Eukaryota; Fungi; Basidiomycota; Agaricomycetes; Thelephorales; Thelephoraceae. The record is from RNAcentral.
GAAAUGCGACUAAGUAAUGUGAAUUGCAGAAUUCAGUGGAAUCAUCGAAUCUUUGAACGCACCUUGCGCCCUUUGGCUAUUCCGAAGGGCAUGCCUGUUUGAGUAUCAUGAACAUCUCAACUCCUCGCGGUUUGCCCGUGACGAGCUUGGACUUUGGGGGUCUUGCCGGCCUGCGGGUCGGCUCCUCUCAAAUGAAUCAGCUUGCCGGUGUUUGGUGGCGUCACAGGUGUGAUAACUAUCUACGCUUGUGGUUUUCCGCCAGGUAACCUCCAGCGAUGGGGGUUCACUGGAGCUCACAAACGUCUCUCCUCGGUGAGGACGGCUUUUCGAACGUUUGAUCUCAAAUCAGGUAGGACUACCCGCUGAACUUAAGCAUAUCAAUAAGCGGAGGAAAAGAAACUAACAAGGAUUCCCCUAGU